Cyprinus carpio (common carp) is the source of this 426-nucleotide long non-coding RNA. Lineage: Eukaryota; Metazoa; Chordata; Actinopteri; Cypriniformes; Cyprinidae. The record is from Ensembl.
AUGACCCCUCUGCUCCUGCAUGCAUCAACUAGUGAUGCCCACUCUGCAAAGACUUUGGCAGAAAUGAACAUCAUAAGGAAAUCGUUUAAUUAUGGCCCUUGUCAAGCGCUCAGAGUCUGCUCCAAGGGACCAGAUUUCAGCUCUCUUCAACUUCAUUACAGCAUCUUGAAUAUUCAUCUGGAGUAGAUCUACAACCACACACUUCAUUUGGAACUAAGUGGAAAACAAAGGAGGUUUUCCUCGUGCUCCUCAUGACUCUGGUGUUCACUGAUGGAUGGGAGGAUAUCAGGCUCAGCCGUGACCGAUGGGUUCAUUUUAACUCGGCACCCUGCCGGAGCAUAUGAUAUAUUUGAGCACAACCACAUUCUCCCAAUUGUUUUUGACACAAACAAUAAACAGGCUUGGACGGAUUAUCUAAGUGAAACG